This is a long non-coding RNA of Strongylocentrotus purpuratus (purple sea urchin), 1018 nucleotides long. RefSeq lists it as uncharacterized. The transcript has 3 exons. The record is from RefSeq and is a predicted model, not a curated record. Lineage: Eukaryota; Metazoa; Echinodermata; Echinoidea; Camarodonta; Strongylocentrotidae.
AUAAAACAGGGUUUUAUGGCUCAGUUUGGCAUACAAACGUUACUAUUCUCAGAACUUGUAUAAUCCUCAUCAAACUGUAAUAACCUCAUUCACAGGGGAUGAGAAGACACAGUCCGGAGUGGUCUGCUGGACCAUGGAUGGACGCAACCAAUGGCUAGUGGGCCUUGGAAUAAUGAGGAUGACUGACCAUUGAUCUGAAUACCUCCGUCACUGAUCUGAUUUGGACCAUUAUUCAACCAAUGUCCUCCAGACUAAUAGGGGAAGAACUCAACCUUCUCUUUAAAUUGAAUGACUUCCAACUUCCAACGCAAGACAUCACAAGUCAAUCCUGAGAUGAUGUAAAUGCAUCAGACCCGAGGUGAGGACAUCCUUAUGCCGAUGAUGGACAAAUAAGCAGGCAAAUUGGCAACCUAAAUGGAGAGCUCUAAUUGGAUGAUGCGGGGGAUCGAUUGUAAUCAUCUUACGACACGCUCCACUGACAUGUGGGCAGGUUGGAAAACAGGCCCUUGAGAGUAUCUGGGAUGGCCAAUCAAUCUCAAGGAUGCAUUUAUGAAUGUAUCUCACUGAAAUAACAUCUUCAAGCACGUCUACCUUCCAGCUAUCUACCCCCCUCCCCCUCCCCCUCCUCUUCCUCUGUAAACAGAUACACUUAACCAUGCCUCCCUAUAAUUGGAACAUGAGUGAUUUGAAGAUGUUGCAUUACCAGCUUUUCAAUGCUUCAUACAGAAAAUGUCUGAAUGCACCCGACUGAACUACCCCUGGAUAUGCCAGAGGCAAUGUUUUAGGUUUCAUCUUGCAUCCCACUUGGUAAUGUUUAAUGUUUCAUCUAAGAUUACUGAAGGCAAUUCACAAAGGUAUUCCCAAUUUAGAAAUAUGAUGUCCCGUCAUCUAUUUCCUACAUUGCUCAAUCCCUAUCUCCCGCUACCGCUAUAUCUUUGUUAAUUCCAUCAAGGUCUUUUAAUACUUCAAUCAACUUGCUUUCCUUCUUUCUUCUCUCUCUCCCCCCCCCCCCCCCCCC